This 497-nucleotide ribosomal RNA is filed under the name uncultured bacterium. Its description in RNAcentral is "partial 16S ribosomal RNA". It matches the Rfam family "Bacterial small subunit ribosomal RNA", at positions 28 to 507 of the family's 1533-position model. The record is from RNAcentral.
GAUGAACGCUGGCGGCGUGCCUAAUACAUGCAAGUCGAGCGAACAGACGAGGAGCUUGCUCCUCUGACGUUAGCGGCGGACGGGUGAGUAACACGUGGAUAACCUACCUAUAAGACUGGGAUAACUUCGGGAAACCGGAGCUAAUACCGGAUGAUAUAUUGAACCGCAUGGUUCAAUAGUGAAAGACGGUUUUGCUGUCACUUAUAGAUGGAUCCGCGCCGCAUUAGCUAGUUGGUAAGGUAACGGCUUACCAAGGCAACGAUGCGUAGCCGACCUGAGAGGGUGAUCGGCCACACUGGAACUGAGACACGGUCCAGACUCCUACGGGAGGCAGCAGUAGGGAAUCUUCCGCAAUGGGCGAAAGCCUGACGGAGCAACGCCGCGUGAGUGAUGAAGGUCUUCGGAUCGUAAAACUCUGUUAUUAGGGAAGAACAAAUGUGUAAGUAACUAUGCACGUCUUGACGGUACCUAAUCAGAAAGCCACGGCUAACUACGUG